This 76-nucleotide transfer RNA is filed under the name Sulfuricaulis limicola. RNAcentral's name for it is "tRNA-Asn". It matches the Rfam family "tRNA". From Rfam's summary of the family: Transfer RNA (tRNA) molecules are approximately 80 nucleotides in length. Their secondary structure includes four short double-helical elements and three loops (D, anti-codon, and T loops). Further hydrogen bonds mediate the characteristic L-shaped molecular structure. tRNAs have two regions of fundamental functional importance: the anti-codon, which is responsible for specific mRNA codon recognition, and the 3' end, to which the tRNAs corresponding amino acid is attached (by aminoacyl-tRNA synthetases). tRNAs cope with the degeneracy of the genetic code in two manners: having more than one tRNA (with a specific anti-codon) for a particular amino acid; and 'wobble' base-pairing, i.e. permitting non-standard base-pairing at the 3rd anti-codon position. Lineage: Bacteria; Pseudomonadati; Pseudomonadota; Gammaproteobacteria; Acidiferrobacterales; Acidiferrobacteraceae. RNAcentral also lists the same sequence under 19 other names. The record is from RNAcentral.
UCCCCGGUAGCUCAGUCGGUAGAGCAAGUGACUGUUAAUCACUGGGUCGGCGGUUCGAGUCCGUCCCGGGGAGCCA